This 253-nucleotide ribosomal RNA is filed under the name uncultured bacterium. RNAcentral describes it as "partial 16S ribosomal RNA". It matches the Rfam family "Bacterial small subunit ribosomal RNA", at positions 524 to 776 of the family's 1533-position model. The record is from RNAcentral.
UACGAAGGGGGCUAGCGUUGCUCGGAAUUACUGGGCGUAAAGCGCACGUAGGCGGUCUUUUAAGUCGGGGGUGAAAUCCUGGAGCUCAACUCCAGAACUGCCUUCGAUACUGGAAGACUCGAGUCCAGGAGAGGUGAGUGGAACUGCGAGUGUAGAGGUGAAAUUCGUAGAUAUUCGCAAGAACACCAGUGGCGAAGGCGGCUCACUGGCCCGGUACUGACGCUGAGGUGCGAAAGCGUGGGGAGCAAACAGG